RNAcentral lists this ribosomal RNA (273 nucleotides) under uncultured soil bacterium. Its description in RNAcentral is "partial 16S ribosomal RNA". It matches the Rfam family "Bacterial small subunit ribosomal RNA", at positions 26 to 285 of the family's 1533-position model. The record is from RNAcentral.
AGAAUCAACGCUGGCGGCGUGCCUAACACAUGCAAGUCGAACGCGAAAGCCCCGCAAGGGGCAAGUAGAGUGGCAAACGGGUGAGUAACACGUGGGUGACCUGCCUUCGAGUGGGGGAUAACGUCCCGAAAGGGACGCUAAUACCGCAUGACAUCCUGCCUUUGGAAAGGUGGAGAUCAAAGCCGGGGAUCGCAAGACCUGGCGCUUGAAGAGGGGCCCGCGCCUGAUUAGCUAGGUUGGUAGGGUAACGGCCUACCAAGGCGACGAUCAGUA